UGUCUCUCUCUGCUUCUUCAUAAUUUCAGUCCAUUUUUUCAUGCCACGGGACCACCUCAGCCCUCAAUCCUCCUGGCCUUUCAAUUGAAGGGUCCAGCAUCCUCUGACUAAUUCGCUGUUUCUCUCCAGUUCCAGAAAGAGAGAACCUUGUUGACUCGGCCCACCCUAGGGGUUGGUUCCGUCUUCGGUCUGCUGUGGUCCAGUCAGUUGUGGGUAGGAUGCAGGGCGGGGCAUGCACACACAUGUGCCUGCUGAAGCCCACAUCUAGAAUGACCACCUCAUCCUGGUUUGCCUGAAACUUUUCUGGUUUUAGCACUGUAGGUCUCACAGACCCCAAACCCUCACAGUCCCGGGCAAACCCAAAUGGCUGCUGACCGAAUGCCUCCUCCUCAGCGACACCUGUGUGUUUGUAGAGCUGAGUGGGUCAUUUGUAAGAGGGGCAUUGGGGCACAUCCAGCACAACGCUUUGACUCUCAGAGUAAAUCAGAUUGGUAAUUGCAUUCAAGACUGCAGUUCCAAAAGCAUGAUCCAUGCUUGCUGGGCACUGUGUGCCCAGCGCCAUGAUGUAAGACAGCUGUUAGGCAUGGACCUUGGGAAUACACAACAGUGAACACCAAAAGAAAGGCUGUGUACAAAAGAUCUAAACCCAGUGGCUGGAAUCUGGUGGCCCACAGGACAAGCUCAGUUGUCAGCAAGGUGGGGUCAUAGGAUUUGUGUUUGAAUGCUUCUCAGGGUGUCCCGGCUCCACCUCUUUAUCUUCCACGUGCGCUCUCCACACAAGAUCCGGGAAGGUACCUCGAGUUUGUAAUCCCUGACCUAGAGAGUAUUGUGAGUACCACUGCUUCUUCUGGUGGUGAGAGAAAGAAAGGUUAAGUUCAGGAGUUGAGAAAUAUUGCCAGCUGCAAAAUGAUCACUGGUGCAUUGGAAAAAUUGGGUAUAACUGAAGUGCGUAACAUGAGUGAUUAGUUAAUAACACUUAUUGAACAUCACUGGUACUUAAAACAAGGGGGAAUUCCUAGGAAAGGUUAGAACUGGCAUGGAGGAAACCAUUAGAAAAUUUACAAAUCUGUGAAGAUUUGUGUGUCCCCAGAAGCAAACCCCAGGAUAGGAUGUGAGUGGAACCGUUCAACGGGAGGUGAUCCCAGGCCCCCUGUAGGGAGUCGGAACCUGACCAGGGAAGAAAGCCAGUAACAGGUACGCCAGCCUGCUGCCCCUGGGAAGUCUGGGAGAGAGUAGACGGAGGCUUGGAGCUCUCCUUCGGAGGAGGGAGUGCAGGGUGGGUAUUUCUUCACCAACCCCUGUCAGCCAUGGGGUGAGAGCUGCUCCCUGGGGACAUAAAAUCCCUGACACCUCCAGCCUACCCCAAAGGAAGCCCUGAAGUAAAUAACGCAGCUGCUGGCAGUUGACAUUCAGGCUGAGUUCUCUGGCCUGGUGCCUGCUGAGGGUGUGGGUCCAGCAUGUUCUCGCACACACACAUGCUCUGUGUCACUGCACUACUCAGAUCUUACAGAGACAUCAAAUGUCUGUCCCAAAAGGCAGGCAGUUUGGGAUAUUAGACUUUGUCAGUCAGAGUUCCUGGUUGUGGAGCAUCAGAGUUGCCUCCAGCUGAGGGAAGCAGAAAAGGAAUUUAUUACUGAGUAUUAGGUGGCUCACAGACUGGGAGAGUUAGGGGUCGGCCCCACCACAGGAUGCUCCAAUGAAGAUGCCACUGUCCCUCUGCCGGGCCAGACUCCGCAUCUCACAGAGCCAUCACUGGGCACUAUCCCAGCAGUCUCCCGGGUGGAAAUGUAUGAAGACCACGCAAAGGAGAACAAGCAGGGGCUAUCUAUUCAAAGCGCUGCAGCAAGGGCGUCAGCCACCAUCACUCGCAUUUGGCAGUCAGGGGAAUGGGGAGGCUGUAAGGUGAUGAACAGGGAAGCUGCAGGUGUUCCCGCUGGAGCUGCGGGGCAUCCCAUGUGACUGGUUAGAGGAGCAUGUGUGGCUUUCUCAGGUUGGUCCUGAGUUGGAAGCAGAGGCAGAAAUUGGGGAAGCUGGUACUUAUUGACCAAGUCCUGACCAUUUGGGGCCGAGUUGCUGCAGUUUGUGGUUUGGCUUCCUGGGGGCUGGUGGUGCAGAGGUUGUGGGUCAGAGUUCUAUGUCCAUUUGUAUCUUGAGUCUCGCACGCCGAAAGCUAACGCCUCUGCUGUCGCCCCCUCCAGUCGGAGUCCAGCGGCGCCUGCUUCCUGGCAUUGCUGUCUUCUGAAGGGACUCCUGCUCCUGCUGGAGAGACCAGAUCAAAGGCCUGGCCUCAGCGGGGUGCUUGGCUCUUCCCUGGGGUGGGUCCUCCAAGAGAAUGAGGGGUUGAGAGAUGCUGGGCAGCCACACAACAUGACCAGCGUUCACCGCGUAAGCACAGCCAGUGAGCAGAGAGGCUCACGACAUCGGAGAGUAGACCAGGAGGGUUUCCUGAAUCAAUGGAUAAAAAGAGAAAUGAUUCCAGGGUACAUUUUCCUGCAGGGGGUGGAACUUACGCCUAUUCUUGCAGAGAAAGUACAGAAAGUUUAAAGAAGAGCUGGAAAACCCUCUUCAUCUCUCCACCAAACACAGCCCUUGUUACCAUUUCAACACAGUGGGCUUCUUUGGUCUUUUUCACGUUGUUGAAAUAACGCCGUACACACAACUUCAUAUUCUGCUUUGUGGUUUAACUCUGCGUCAUAAGCAUUUCACCACUUUUCUAAAACUCUUUGUAAACAGCAUUUUAUGACGUCAUGCUACUCCAUUGUGUGGCUGUGUAGACGUAAUUUAGGCAGCUGUUCCCAGAAUGUCAGCUAUUCAGAUUGUCUCUCAUUUUGUUGCUAUUAUGAGUAUAAAUCCCAUCUUCAUUUCUAAGUGGGAGAGAGAUUCAGGAGGGAAUUACUAAGCAGUGGGCAUGAAUGUUUUGCUUUUCUUGACCCGUGGUGCACAGGACUAUGUGAACAGACAGGGGGUGAAGCCCCUGUGGUCGUCUUUCCCCCACCCGUCUCUCUUUCUGUAGGCACGGCUUUCACCAGGAGAGCGGGACAGGGGCACAGAGGACAAGCUGAAGAAAUACACACUCAGGACGGAGAGGCUUUCUGAAGAGCUGUCCUAGAUGCCUCCUGGCUUGGAUUAUACUAUGAAACGGUUUAUUGUCUGCUGAGGCGCCCUGCAAGUGUACAGGAGAGACUUUUUGCUAGCUGUGGUUUGGAAAGAGAGCAGAGCAACUCAUCCUGAUUCUGAAUAAAGGAUGGUAACAUUUUAUGGUAAAUAUAAUGGCAGGCAACCAUGAUGCUCUGUUUUUUAAUUGCAGUGAAAAAUCGAUGGGCUAGUCUCUUUUACAAAUGCAUAUCCCAGUAUCGACAUGGAGGCGGGGCUUCAGAAACGUCAGUGGCCCAUCAGAGUCACCCAAAGGGCUCGUGAAAACAGAUUCCUGGGCCCCACCCCAAGGAUUCGGAUUUGCAUUUCUAGUGAGUUGCUGGUGCAGUUGGUCCUGGGGACCACACUUUGGGGCUUUGUUAAAUGUGAUAUAAAGAACUAUAAAGAGAGGAAUCUUAGGUGCCUUCAAACAAUGUAACUUGAGAAAAGGGGCUCUUGAGGCUCACUACCCGCUCGACCCUGAGCGACGGUUACUGUGCGUCGUUGGACUCAGUGUUUGUCUUCUUGUGGCUUUUUUCACUUAGCAUAAUGUCCUCAAGAUUCACCCAUGCUGCAGCAUGUCUCAGGAUUUCUUUCCUUUUCAAGGCUGAAUAAUAUUCCACAUGCCACAUUUUGUUUAUCUGUGCAUCCGUCAAUGGACACGUGGGUUGCUUCUACCUCUUGGCUGUUGUGGAUAGUGUUGCUAUGAACAUGGGUGUGCACACAGAGAGAGCUCUUUCUAAGGGUCUACAAGGAGAGCCUGCAGCACCUGCCUGGCCAUUGUGCACACCCGUGCCUGCAGCCAGGUGGCAGAUACCUCUGACAUCUGCUUUGCGCUCCAUGGGUCCCCUUCUGCCUUCCUGUGGCUCUGCUGGACAGUCCCAAGGGAGCUCAGCCUCACCAACAUCACCACCCAGUCACCCACCUUCUGCCCCAGGCCCUUCUCAUAGGCCACAGGGGCUGGCUUGGCUUGGAAGUGCAGGACAGUUAACACCCAAAACAACUCUCAGCCAAUGGGCUCUAGUUGGUGGACAAUGCCAGGUCUUGCAUCCUUCCAGUGGGCAAAUCUGGAAGGCAUUCAGCUUCCCAGAGAUACCAGGAGAGCUGAGGGAUCUGGAUAACGCGCCCUUAGAUUUGUGGGUCGUCCUACCCUGUCUCACUCUCCCUGCCCCUUCUCACCUGCUUCCUGGGAUGGCCUCCAGGUAAACACCUGCUCCCAAGUCCUUGCCUCUGGGUGAUCCUGAUACCUCUGAAGUCUCAGAAUGUCUGCUUUAUACUGAUGACUGGUUUGAAUAAAAAUGGCUUUCCCUUACCUUGACCUCAGCUUCUGCAUGGGGGGAGGCGGAGGUCCCCCGCCCUCUGUCCCUGAUGCUUGCUCUCUACCCCUCCUCACUGGUCGCCCCUGGGAAAGAAAAGACCAUAAGCCCCUAUUUCAUAUGGACGAUCCCCACAAAUGUGAGCUUCUUCUUCAAGAAUGGGAGACAGCCUCUAAACAGUACAGCACUUGCUACCUAGACAUAAGACUGACAACAAAGCCUCAAUGAACUUAUGUUUUUCCUUCCAGUCAUUAUUCAGUAAGGAUUUGCCUGCCGCUGGUGAGCUUGUAAGCCAGGCCUGGCGGUCUAGCGGUCAAGAUUCAGCUCUCUCACCGCCGCGGACCGGUUCAUUUCUCUGUCAAGGAACCACACCAGUCGUCUGUCGGUUGUCAUCCUGUGGCAGCUGCCUGUUGCUGUGAUGCUGAAAGCUCUCCCACAGACCAGAGGAGCAGACCGGCACCGAAGAGAGAAGGCCUCCCUGUGGGUACGUCCAGGGACACAUGGAGCCCAUGCCUCGCUGGGCCUUCACACCCCUCUCUCCUAUUGGCUUCCCCCAGCCCUUAUGUCUUGCACAGGUAGUGUUCAUGAAAGAGUUGUUGGUGAGUAAAUGAAAAAGUGAGUUGUCGUGAUGGAGGUACGGCCAGGGUAUUCUGGACGAGGGAGGAGGGGUCCCUGACGGCCUGGGCCCAGGGACUAAGGUAGGGGAGAGAUGAGAAAGCCCUUCUGGACGGGAUCUAAUAUGUAGGAUCAGGCAGGGGGUGAACAACGAAGCUCCCAGGCAGAGGAGACGGUGGAGAGACAGCUGGUGGAGGCCGCCAGCGGCCAGGGUCGCUGGGUGUGAUGUGUGAGGCAGGACACAACGGCAAGUGGGAAGCAAGAGAGGUCUUGAGUUCCACUCAGGAACCAGGACUUUCUCCUGCAGGCGAAGGUCUGAACAGUGAGCCAGAGAGUUGGGUUUACCUUGCAGAUGGCCCACCUCCUACUUUGUGGAGUGUGGAUGUGAAGUGGACAAGGCUGGAGGCAGGAAGAUCGUCCCCAGGAGGCUGUCCCAGGGAAGACGUAAGAGUUACAGGGGGCAGGCAACCUAGGGCAGAGGUAUUAGUAAUGGAGAGGUGACAGACAAGAGAAGCGUGCAGGAGGCAAACCGACUGCAUUUUGUAGACGUGGAGGGUGAGGGAGGGUGGCGGUCUCGGGUCCCCACCUGGAGCGUGACUUGGAUGACAGCUUGGGACCAUUAACUGAGAUGCGGAACAGAGCAAGAGCAGCAGGUGGCGAGGAGAAGAAGAACGCAUCCUGCAGUGCCUCUGGCAGACGUUCAGCAGGCGCUCCAGAAGGCGUGGCCGCAGACAGCGAUUCAAGAGUCCUCAGAGAAUCCCUGGCGUGUGGAAGCCUGAGGAGAUGUGAUCACCUGUGAGAGUGGACGGCAAGAAGGGCGGGUCCCUUCCCAAGCCUUCCCCACUCAAGACACCAGCGGUCUCGGUGCCCACGGAGCAGUCAGACGGAGCAGCUUUCAGCAGGAGCUGAGGUCUGGGGCCUGCGAGUGAAGGCUGCCCUUUGGAGAGCUCUGGAUAAGACAAAUUUGAAAAAGACUGGAUGAUAGACAGGGGAGGACAUGGGUUCUAGGAUGGGGGGUGGAAUUUGAGUGUAUUUAGAGGCCACAGGGAAGGGGUUUGUUUCACAGGGUGUGACAAGUGGAUCUAGGUCUGAACAAGCGUGACUGAGGGAGUUGGGGGCGCAGUAGGCAGGGGGACCCGGAGAGAGAGAGCCAGGGCGGGGACCGAACCUGCAGGUCCAAGGGCUGUAACACUGAAACAAACCCAAACCAUGAACAAAAAUGCCUGUGGUGUUCUUCAGACAACUGGGUGUUCUCCAAACAGCUCUGGGGACAUUUUUCAGGUAGAUUGAUCAUAUAGUUUAUUAGCAAACUGGGUCACUUGGGAGAAGCACGGGGCACUAUUAAUAAUUGUCAAGACAAUAGGCAUAAACAGGGAUUGUCCCUGGCCAACUAGGAUGGGUGGUCAUUUUAUUUUUAGAUCUCUAUUACCGUUUUUGUAAAGUAAUCAGGGGCAGGUUUCUAUUGCUUUGGUUAUAUAAAUGUCUUGAAAAACUUAAUUCCUAGACAAGUAUAGCUGCCAUCUGUAUCUGUGCAUUCUGCAUCCACGGAUUCAAGCAACCAUGGACCAAAGGCCUAAGAUGGUUGUGUCUGUACUGAACAUGUAUGGACUUUUUUCCUUGUCAUUAUUUCCUAAACAAUACAGUAUAACAACUACUUACAUAGCAUUUACGUUGUACCAGGUGUUAUAAUAAUCUAGAGAUGAUUUAACGUAUAUGGGAGGGCGUGCGUAGGUUAUAAGCAAAUACUGCACCAUUUUAUAUAAGAGACUUGAGCGUCCACAGAUUUUAGUACCCGUGGUGGUCCUGGAACCAAUCCCCCGAAGACACUGAGGAAGGACUGUGUUCCAGACUAUUUCACUGACUCCCUGCAGACCCUGGCCCCAACGUCACCCAACUCAACAGUCUUAAACACAAGCCUUUCUUUUCCAAGACUACUUCAUAUUUGAUGAUUCCCUGAGUGGUCAUCCCAGCCAAGCGUGUCCUUUCUUCUAUAACGAAAUUAGGAAUAUUGCCUUGAAAACAUUCUAAAUAGAAACAUAGACCUGCAAAGAGUUGGCCUUGUCUUCAAAGUCUCUCUGUGUGAAUAUGUGCAUUAUUUAUUAGAUUUUUGGUGACAUCUUCUUCACAGGGUACAAAAAUGUCCCGGGUAACAAGAGAAAAGGAUAGGAGAGAGGGGCCUGGGCAUAGAGGAGGACAGCAGAUCGGAGCGGGUGGAGCAGCACGGAAGGUCACGGGAUGGAGCGCUGUGGAAUCCAGAGUCCUUAGCAGGCCUCAGGUGUACCCCCUCCAGCCGGCGUCAGGGGCCUUCACCCACGGGAGCUGUGCAUUAGUAAAUGUGCCUCUUUCACCCUCCUGCCUUGUUCCUGUGGGCUCCCCGAAUUUGACUCUAUGGAGAGGUCCAUCCACGACAUCUACCUUGGCUUAUGAGGCAUUUUGUCCCCAUUAUGGGGCUGCUGAAGACUUCCUGGGCGUCUCUCAAUAGCAAAUGCCCCCAAAGUGCCUGAGGAGUCUUACAGGAACUCCGGCCGGCUAGGGUGCAGUGGUGAUAAUCAAUUGAGCUGUUGCUCGCAGUGCUGUCAUCAAUUUCUGUGUCUUCACUCUUUUGUUUGUUUCUAUCUUGCGUCGAGGGUUCCAUUGCAUUAACACGUGCACACGUAUUAGGGGGACAUGGUCUUUAGUGCGUAGCAUGUAACAGCCGGGAAAGAGCUUCGAAGGCCGGUAGGCAGCCUCGUUACAGAUGAAAGGGCAACCGUCCAGUUAUGUUGUAUGAUAACUGACGUGAACUAUUGACGUGUUAUCCAUUUUGGUGGCAGUUGGUGUCUUUCUUUUUUUAAGCAUGGAUGGG
RNAcentral lists this long non-coding RNA (7908 nucleotides) under Equus caballus (horse). RNAcentral describes it as "lncRNA (ENSECAG00000045780.1)". Lineage: Eukaryota; Metazoa; Chordata; Mammalia; Perissodactyla; Equidae. The record is from RNAcentral.